This 209-nucleotide long non-coding RNA is filed under the name Hordeum vulgare. Its description in RNAcentral is "long non-coding RNA (HVUL_LNC009124)". Lineage: Eukaryota; Viridiplantae; Streptophyta; Magnoliopsida; Poales; Poaceae. The record is from RNAcentral.
ACGCAUAAGCAUGGGUAUGAGCAUAGUUUUGACCAGUUGAGGAUUUUGAUCCUCUUGAAGACUUUGGUCCUCCUGAGGAAUUUGAUCUGGGGUUCAGAUUCUUCAGAGGUGAUGUCAUGAGGACAUUUACUUGAAGAUUUUCAAGACAACUUUUGGGAACCCAGAUUUUCCUCAGAGGAGGGCCAUUCCUGCAGUUAGUUCCAACAUAU